UGUGAUGUAUCUUUCAGGUACUGGUCAGAAUCCUUUUUUCCUCUGGACGGUCUAGGCUAUGCUGCUGAACAUCAGAGAGACUGUUCCUAUGUCCUUCAUAACUUUGGGUUCACAAGUGCGAUCCGAACAGGGAUGCAUUUCACGGGCAGGGAGGAGAUCGCUGUAGGAGGAGGAGAAGAGAUCUUUGUUUACGUCAAUAAGAUACUGGUCUUACAAGUUCAGAGAGAAUACCAAUCGGUUACUACAUGUAAGAAGGUCAGCUUGGCUAAUGCCAAUGGAGGAGGCACAAUUACACCACAAGAGGGCAGUAUUGUGAAUGGAGAGUGUGUUAUCACCGGGAGUGUUCCCACAGAA
This is a long non-coding RNA of Strongylocentrotus purpuratus (purple sea urchin), 354 nucleotides long. RefSeq lists it as uncharacterized. The record is from RefSeq and is a predicted model, not a curated record. The transcript is spliced from 3 exons. Lineage: Eukaryota; Metazoa; Echinodermata; Echinoidea; Camarodonta; Strongylocentrotidae.